Helianthus annuus (common sunflower) is the source of this 1026-nucleotide RNA transcript. RefSeq lists it as uncharacterized. The record is from RefSeq and is a predicted model, not a curated record. Lineage: Eukaryota; Viridiplantae; Streptophyta; Magnoliopsida; Asterales; Asteraceae. The transcript is spliced from 3 exons.
GUGAAAAAUGAAACCUUUAGACUAAACUGACAAAAUGACCCAAACUAUAAGUACUAAAAUCGCAUUUAACUCAAAAAUUCAUUUACAUAAUUCAUUUAAGGUAAAAAAUUAAAAUUCCCGCCCCCAUAAACUCCCUCCGUCUUUUCCCGCCUAAUGAAAAUUCCCACCCCAUAAACUACCUCAAUCGUUUUGGCUCCAUUUAAAAAUUUCAUCCCCAAAAAUGAUUCCCCAUUCAAACUGCACUACUACUCCACGUUUAUCAGGUGCGGUUAAAGAAUCAGUCAAUGCUCAAACCUCAAAACACACACAUCGAUCAUUUGAGAACACACUAAACGUGGGAAACAUCUGCGAAAAAUGAUCAUAAAUCUUGCUUGGAAACAGGAUGGCAAUGAAGGAUGUUCUAUUCGCGAUGAAGAUAAAGAGAAAACUGUGUUGUUUGUACACAUAUUGUAUUUUGUGUUGCUUGCAUAUGAAGUGAUGUUCUAGAUGGGAUGGAGUAGUGACGGUUUCUUCAUUCGGGAUGUAGAAAGUGAGGAAACUAUAGUAAUUUGUAGAGUUAAUUACAUAGUUAGUCCCUGUGGUUUGCACAAAAUAACAUAAUUAAGUACUAAUAGUUUAAAAUCACCUUCUAAGGUAUUAAUUUUUCAUUUUGUAACGUUUGGAGGUAUUAACAUCUAGGGUAUUAACAUAGUUAGUCCCUAUGGUUUUUACAAAAUAACAUACUUAGGUACUAAUAGAAUGUGAUUGUAAACCUACAAAUAAUGUUAAUAUCUCCAAACGUUACAAAAUGAAAAGUUAAUACCCUAGAAUGUGAUUUUAAACUAUUAGUACCUAAAUAUGUUACUUUGUGCAAACCACAGGGACUAACUAUGUAACUAACUCUAAUUUGUAUUUGGAUAUUUUGUAUAAUUUUGUAAUAUUUUAUGGCAUUAUAUUUCAUAAUUUUUCUUAUCUUAUUUGUAGAACAUGUGGUUUUUAUUUGUCAUUGUAAACCUUUAUGUGAUUUUUUGGAUAUAUUUCUAUGUA